AGCGAACGCUGGCGUCAGGCCUAACACAUGCAAGUCGAACGAACUCUUCGGAGUUAGUGGCGGACGGGUGAGUAACACGUGGGAACGUGCCUUUAGGUUCGGAAUAACUCAGGGAAACUUGUGCUAAUACCGAAUGUGCCCUUCGGGGGAAAGAUUUAUCGCCUUUAGAGCGGCCCGCGUCUGAUUAGCUAGUUGGUGAGGUAAAGGCUCACCAAGGCGACGAUCAGUAGCUGGUCUGAGAGGAUGAUCAGCCACAUUGGGACUGAGACACGGCCCAAACUCCUACGGGAGGCAGCAGUGGGGAAUCUUGCGCAAUGGGCGAAAGCCUGACGCAGCCAUGCCGCGUGAAUGAUGAAGGUCUUAGGAUUGUAAAAUUCUUUCACCGGGGACGAUAAUGACGGUACCCGGAGAAGAAGCCCCGGCUAACUUCGUG
Molecule: ribosomal RNA, 433 nt
Filed under: uncultured bacterium
Lineage: Bacteria
Description: partial 16S ribosomal RNA
Rfam family: Bacterial small subunit ribosomal RNA
Source: RNAcentral